GACGUAGGGGGCGAGCGUUGUUCGGAAUUACUGGGCGUAAAGCGUGCGUAGGCGGACUUAUAAGUUAAGGUUGAAAUAUCCGGGCUCAACUCGGGGCACGGCCUUGAUACUGCAAGUCUUGAGUCAAGUAGAGGGUAAUGGAAUUCCCGGUGUAGCGGUGAAAUGCGUAGAGAUCAGGAAGAACACCGGUGGCGAAAGCGCUCUACUAGGCCGCAACUGACACUGAGGGACGAAAGCUAGGGGAGCGAAUGGG
RNAcentral lists this ribosomal RNA (253 nucleotides) under uncultured prokaryote. Its description in RNAcentral is "partial 16S ribosomal RNA". It matches the Rfam family "Bacterial small subunit ribosomal RNA", at positions 524 to 776 of the family's 1533-position model. The record is from RNAcentral.